CAGAGUAAAAGAAUACGCGUUAAGUGUUUGCUGUACGGGGAGUUGACAGCAGGACGAAAGGGCUGCGCGCACGCGCCUGUUUUUUCUUUUAUCCGACACAUGAGUUCGAGAUAAAGAAAUGCGCACACGCGCCCCUGCGGUGUAUUCUUUGCAUCCCGCUGU
Molecule: non-coding RNA, 162 nt
Filed under: uncultured Ruminococcus sp.
Lineage: Bacteria; Bacillati; Bacillota; Clostridia; Eubacteriales; Oscillospiraceae
Description: THF riboswitch
Rfam family: THF (Tetrahydrofolate) riboswitch aptamer
About the family: THF riboswitch presents a pseudoknot that joins P1-P2 and the loop of P3 and two THF binding.
Source: RNAcentral